CCUACGGGCGACUGCAGUGGGGAAUAUUGGACAAUGGGGGGAACCCUGAUCCAGCGACGCCGCGUGAGUGAAGAAGUAUUUCGGUAUGUAAAGCUCUAUCAGCAGGGAAGAAAAUGACGGUACCUGACUAAGAAGAAGCCCCGGCUAACUACGUGCCAGCAGCCGCGGUAAUACGUAGGGGGCAAGCGUUAUCCGGAUUUACUGGGUGUAAAGGGAGCGUAGACGGCGGGGCAAGUCUGGAGUGAAAGGCCGGGGCCCAACCCCGGGACCGCUCUGGAAACUGCCCGGCUGGAGUGCGGGAGAGGUAAGCGGAAGUCCUAGUGUAGCGGUGAAAUGCGUAGAUAUUAGGAGGAACACCAGCGGCGAAGGCGGCUUACUGGACCGUGACUGACGUUGAGGCUCGAAAGCGUGGGGAGCAAACAGGAUUAGAUACCCGGGUAGUC
Molecule: ribosomal RNA, 443 nt
Filed under: uncultured bacterium
Lineage: Bacteria
Description: partial 16S ribosomal RNA
Rfam family: Bacterial small subunit ribosomal RNA
Source: RNAcentral